This 253-nucleotide ribosomal RNA is filed under the name Stenopsychodes mjoebergi. RNAcentral describes it as "partial 28S large subunit ribosomal RNA". It matches the Rfam family "Eukaryotic large subunit ribosomal RNA", at positions 649 to 855 of the family's 3401-position model. Lineage: Eukaryota; Metazoa; Arthropoda; Insecta; Trichoptera; Stenopsychidae. The record is from RNAcentral.
CCGUCUUGAAACACGGACCAAGGAGUCUAGCAUGCGCGCGAGUCAUUGGGAGCUAGUAGACCCAGAGGCGCAAUGAAAGUGAACAGCGCCGACCCAGCGUCGGCCGGAGGGAAGAUGGCGGCCGGCGAGCCCGUCCGCCCGCAUUCCCGAGGCGUUUCGAGAAAUGCCAUCGUUGCGACUAUCGAGACGCACUGAGAGCGCGCACGCUGGGACCCGAAAGAUGGUGAACUAUGCCUGGUCAGGUCGAAGUCAG